This is an RNA transcript of Salvia splendens (bonfire salvia), 1835 nucleotides long. RefSeq lists it as uncharacterized. NCBI's taxonomy places the organism in Eukaryota, Viridiplantae, Streptophyta, Magnoliopsida, Lamiales, Lamiaceae. The transcript is spliced from 6 exons. The record is from RefSeq and is a predicted model, not a curated record.
CCCAGGUGGGAACAUGACAAUUGACAGGGAAACCAUUCAAACGAACGUCAUCUUCUUCUUCAAACAAUCAAACUGCUGCCCUUUCCUAUGUAGUCUCUCUCUCUCACACACACACACUGCGUGUUUGGUGUUCAAUAAGUUGCAGAAUCUUUUCAUUUCCCUUUUCUCUUCUUUGUUAUUUGUGGCAAAGAUAUGUUUGAAUAGUCAGAGGCCUGAAGUAAGGAUUGGUUGAAAUGGUUAAAAAAGAUAAGCAAAUUGUAUCACAGAAAUCUACUGAUUUUGAUGCAAUAUCCUGCAAUGAAUUGCGUAAAUUACUGCAAAAAGAAGGUGUGGACAAGAGCAACAUGGGCCUUAUGGAAUUAUAUUCCGAGCCAAGUAGGGCGAGGCCAAAUGAAGAAUUGAGAUUAAACGAUGAUGUUGAUGAACAUAACGAUGAUCCGGAUUAUAUGCUUAUGUUUAAAAAACUGAAGAAGCAUGGCAACGCGUAUAGAAUUGAAUACAUGGAAGAAGAUGGUUCGAGGGCUAUCAUCAAAUAUGAAGAAGCUUCUAGUUCAGACACAGAGUGUGAUCAAGAACAAAUCGAUGGACCUCUGAAUCAGAUGCCUCUUGCAGAGGUUCAAGGCACUCUCGAUUCACACCUUGCUCCGAGUAGGGAGGAGGUUGAGAACCUGACUAGCAGGGAUACGAGGAGCAAGUCCAACAAGGAGAGGAAAGAGAAUGCAAAGUUGCUGUCACACUCUACCUAUGUGCAUGCCCCUCACACUCCCAGUGUCAAAAGAGAUUUGGGUUUGGAUAAAAACUGUGGUCAACGCCAAUAUAGAAGGAAGUUGAGGAGUUAUGAUACGAAACUAAUUGAUGAACAUGUCAAUAGGGCAAAGGAGAUGAAGAAUCUGACUAGGACAGAUCCGCGGGUUAAGUCCAAGAGUGGGAAGGAAGAGAAUGUAGUGGUGAUGGAGCCUGUUUCUCGUACCUACCCACGAAAACGCAAAAGGAACAAGUGCAAGAGUGAGUAUGAUGAAGAGAAAAUCCAAUUCGAACCUGAUUAUCAUUUAUGGUAUGAAAAACUCAAGCCUGUCGACGAUCAUCUUAUGUAUACUGCCAGGGGUAUUGAAGUACUGUAUGAAAUGAAGAGUGGAGCGUGUGAUCGGAUGAAAGAGGAUGAGGAUGAUGAUCACUAUGACGACGAAUCCUCUGAUGUGGAAAUCAUUGACAGCGAUACAUUCUGCAAGAUGAAUAACAGGGACCGGUCUGCAUUUAGGGACAAGGUUAUUGCUGCUCUUAGAAAACCUUUUAAUCUCGAUGAGUAUAACAGGCUACGGCGAGAUAUCAAAUUCCGCCCAUUGAAAGGACGCCACAUGGAUCUACGUAAUGGGAGAGAAAGACAAAUGGGAACGAAGGGAGAUGGAAAGUGUUAUCUUCAUUACCAUCCAGCUGUCUUGUAAGGGGCUGAUGGUGGUUCUGUAUGCUCGUUUCUGACAACCGGACUCUGAAGUUGGUCACAUAUUAUGCAUAUUGUUGAGGAACUCUUGUCUAAUUUGGAUUUCGUAAAGAAAGUACAAACAUGAGAGGGAGGAAGGAGUUGUUUCUCAAACCUUUAAUUGUCACGUGCAUUGUCAAAUGUUUAUUUGAGUUUAUGCUCUAAAUUGUUUCCAAGAGUUCUAGCAGAUGAAGAGAACAUUCGAGUUUCUUUCUUUCGAUCUCAAGAAAAAGCUCUCACAAGCUAAAGGCGACCGGCCAAAACGAUUAAACCUUCUACGAGGAUUCUUCAUAUGGAUUAAGCAGCCAGAGGAAUUCAGCCCGUGGCACGACAAAGAAUGCCUCGCCGUGCGCCCAGG